RNAcentral lists this ribosomal RNA (607 nucleotides) under uncultured Desulfosarcina sp. RNAcentral describes it as "bacterial SSU rRNA". It matches the Rfam family "Bacterial small subunit ribosomal RNA", at positions 35 to 614 of the family's 1533-position model. The record is from RNAcentral. Lineage: Bacteria; Pseudomonadati; Thermodesulfobacteriota; Desulfobacteria; Desulfobacterales; Desulfosarcinaceae.
GCUGGCGGCGUGCUUAACACAUGCAAGUCGUACGAGAACACCCUAGCUUGCUAGGGUAAGUAAAGUGGCGCACGGGUGAGUAACGCGUGGGUAAUCUACCUUCGAAUUGGGGAUAACGUUGCGAAAGCGACGCUAAUACCGAAUAACAUCCAUUAAUCUUCGGGUUUUUGGAUCAAGGGUGGCCUCUACAUGUAAGCUACUGUUUGAAGAUGAGCCCGCGUACCAUUAGCUUGUUGGUGGGGUAAAGGCCUACCAAGGCUUCGAUGGUUAGCUGGUCUGAGAGGAUGAUCAGCCACACUGGAACUGACACACGGUCCAGACUCCUACGGGAGGCAGCAGUGAGGAAUUUUGCGCAAUGGGGGAAACCCUGACGCAGCAACGCCGCGUGAGUGAUGAAGGCUUUCGGGUCGUAAAGCUCUGUCAAGUGGGAAGAACCUGCAGUAUGCUAAUAUCAUACUGCACUGACGGCACCACUGAAGGAAGCACCGGCUAACUCCGUGCCAGCAGCCGCGGUAAUACGGGGGGUGCAAGCGUUAUUCGGAAUCAUUGGGCGUAAAGAGCACGUAGGCGGCUUGGUAAGUCAGAUGUGAAAGCCCGGGGCUUAACC